UCACCAAUCAAUAUUCCCACUAUCUCAUUCCCACUAUCCCACUAUCUUAACUCAUCCUACAAUUACUCCUACAAAUUCUUCUUUUACUGAUCGACUUAAUUAACUUAUCGAGUUAAUUCUCUCACCCUUUCUCUCAGUUUCUUAUUUGUUUUGGGUUCUCUAUUGAUUUUGUAAAUGUAUUGAUUUUGUUUCUUUUGUGAGCAGUAGUUGAAGAUAUUAUGUGCAGAGACUCCAGCAGAAAUCAACCUUCUUGCGGCCGGCUUAAUUUUCCAGAUCAAAGAAAUGAAAAAUCUAACUGUCCUCAAGAUCGCCAGACAUCCACAUCACCAAUGAUUUUGCGUGAUCAUGGUAAAUAUACAGUUUCUUAUAUCGUCAUACUCAUCUUGCAUACACACUUUUUGGCUGCACUAUCUUGCUAAAUCAACUAUAGAUACAAUACAAUACAAUUGUAUUACAAUUGUUCGAUUACAAUACAAUUGUAUUACAUUCUAUUGAUGCUAUUUAUAGACAACUUAGCAAUUUUAUAGAUUAGCAAUUUAUUUUAUUUUAUAGAUUACCAAUUACUACAUGUACCAAAAUAUUUUUUUAUAGGGAUUACUUCAUUAACUAUGGGUGCUAAUAACAAUUCAAUUGGUGCGUAUUUUUCA
Long non-coding RNA from Coffea arabica (coffee), 647 nucleotides. RefSeq lists it as uncharacterized. Lineage: Eukaryota; Viridiplantae; Streptophyta; Magnoliopsida; Gentianales; Rubiaceae. The record is from RefSeq and is a predicted model, not a curated record.